RNAcentral lists this ribosomal RNA (515 nucleotides) under uncultured bacterium. RNAcentral's name for it is "bacterial SSU rRNA". It matches the Rfam family "Bacterial small subunit ribosomal RNA", at positions 15 to 518 of the family's 1533-position model. The record is from RNAcentral.
GAUCCUGGCUUAGGAUGAACGCUAGCUACAGGCUUAACACAUGCAAGUCGAGGGGCAGCAUAUCGAAAGCUUGCUUUGAUGAUGGCGACCGGCGCACGGGUGAGUAACGCGUAUCCAACCUUCCCUAUACUAGAGGAUAGCCCGGCGAAAGUCGGAUUAAUACUCUAUGUUGUAUUUCGAGGACAUCUGAAUAAUACCAAAGGGUUUACCGGUAUAGGAUGGGGAUGCGUCUGAUUAGGUUGUUGGCGGGGUAACGGCCCACCAAGCCCACGAUCAGUAGGGGUUCUGAGAGGAAGGUCCCCCCACAUUGGAACUGAGACACGGUCCAAACUCCUACGGGAGGCAGCAGUGAGGAAUAUUGGUCAAUGGACGAGAGUCUGAACCAGCCAAGUAGCGUGCAGGAUGACGGCCCUAUGGGUUGUAAACUGCUUUUAUACAGGGAUAAAGUGACGUACGUGUACGUUUUUGUAGGUACUGUAUGAAUAAGGACCGGCUAAUUCCGUGCCAGCAGCAGC